AACCUUACCUGGGCUUGACAUCCCGAUCGCACUUUCUGGAAACAGUGAGGUCAGUUCGGCUGGAUCGGUGACAGGUGCUGCAUGGCUGUCGUCAGCUCGUGUCGUGAGAUGUUGGGUUAAGUCCCGCAACGAGCGCAACCCUUGUCCUUAGUUGCCAGCAUUCAGUUGGGCACUCUAAGGAGACUGCCGGUGUUAAACCGGAGGAAGGUGGGGAUGACGUCAAGUCCUCAUGGCCCUUAUGUCCAGGGCUACACACGUGCUACAAUGGCCGGUACAAAGGGUAGCGAGACCGCAAGGUUGAGCGAAUCCCAAAAAGCUGGUCUCAGUUCGGAUUGGAGUCUGCAACUCGACUCCAUGAAGUUGGAAUCGCUAGUAAUCGCGGAUCAGCAUGCCGCGGU
This 398-nucleotide ribosomal RNA is filed under the name uncultured bacterium. RNAcentral's name for it is "bacterial SSU rRNA". It matches the Rfam family "Bacterial small subunit ribosomal RNA", at positions 967 to 1363 of the family's 1533-position model. The record is from RNAcentral.